GUAUGAGUUUGGUGCAAAAGUAAUUGUGGUUUUUGUCAUUUCUUCCAAUGGCAAAAACUGCAAUCACUUUUGCAGCAACCUAAUA
Gorilla gorilla gorilla (western lowland gorilla) is the source of this 85-nucleotide microRNA precursor. The record is from Ensembl. NCBI's taxonomy places the organism in Eukaryota, Metazoa, Chordata, Mammalia, Primates, Hominidae.